Non-coding RNA from Oryza meridionalis, 176 nucleotides. NCBI's taxonomy places the organism in Eukaryota, Viridiplantae, Streptophyta, Magnoliopsida, Poales, Poaceae. The record is from Rfam.
AAUAAGUUCAUGUCCAACGUUUAACCGUUCAUCUUAUUUAAUUUCGUUUUAUAAUUAGUAUUUUUAUUGUUAUUAGAUGAUAAAACAUAAAUAGCUUGUUUUUAAGUUUUCUCACAGAAUUUUCAAAUAAGAUGAUGGUUAAAUGUUGAACACAAAUACUCACGGUUGUAUUUAUU